Molecule: transfer RNA, 72 nt
Filed under: Roseivirga ehrenbergii
Lineage: Bacteria; Pseudomonadati; Bacteroidota; Cytophagia; Cytophagales; Roseivirgaceae
Description: tRNA-Asp
Rfam family: tRNA
About the family: Transfer RNA (tRNA) molecules are approximately 80 nucleotides in length.
Source: RNAcentral
GGUACCGUAGUUCAGGGGUAGAAUAGAUCACUGUCUAUGAUCAGGUCGAGGGUUCGAACCCCUCCGGUACCG